GCCACCCCUGAGACAGCAAGACCAACAACCCCUUCUCUUCCUCUUCAGCCUACUCAGUGUGAAGAUGAUAAAAUGAAACAGUUGGUGAUGUUUCAGAGAACCCAACUCAAACUGACUUGAACAAGAGAAAUCAGUGUUUACUGCAGAGAACACAGAAGCCAGCAAGCAGCAGGGAAGGGAGGCGAACCAAUGCAGCAGCCCACCGGGACCGAGGAGGACACACGCAGAGCAAGUCACAGGAAGCGCAGCUGAAAACAAAUGGACGCUUAUCCCAAAUGCACAGGACACUUACCAAGAACUGAUGGUCCGUCAAAGUAAAGCUCAACAGCUUUGGCUGGCAGGACAGUCAAACUUUUGGACGACAGAAAGUAACAGUGGGAAAUGGGACAACAUCUGCCAGCAACGCGAGAGGCCAAGACCAUGGCUGCUACAGGAGGGGUCAGCGUCACAGUACACGCAUGGCGGCGGUUGCACAUGCAUGCCUGGGGAAUGUGAGUGUUCAGACAUGCCAGGAGUCCAGCCUCACCAGGAAACAGGCACACGGGGACAGAGGCGCAAACACUGAAAACUCUCGCUGAAUCCACUCGGCUGAGCGGUGGUCACGAGAGCACGGCCCUGCGCUCCCCACAAAACUGCACCUGGGCCCCAGGGCGAGACAGGCGUGGAAGGUGCAGGGGUGUGUGUGGGGGCAGGGGCUCCUGGCUCAGAGCCGUAUCCAGGAACCCCCCUUCAGGCUGGAGCCCUGCCCUGAGCCCCCUGUGGAGAGACUGUGGAGAGCCCCCUGUGGAGAGGGUGACUGUGGGAGAGCAGCAUCAGGCCUAGUCUCGGCUGUGAAGUACCCCCCACCUCCACGCAGGAUCCCGGGGAUUCUGUCAAGGUGGGGGCCGCCUGCUCAGCCCAGGCUCCCUGAACGUGUGGCUAGCUGAGUUUGCGGAAGAAACCAGGAGAGUGCCAACACCAGGCUUGCAAGCAAGAGGCUCCCUGACUGCCUGAUCCUGGAGCGCACCCCAUCCUCCCUGUGUUCCCUGGGCCUCAGCUGUUCCCCAGUGACCUUGGAGACACCCUGCCCCACCCUGGCUCCACAGGAGCCCUGCCCAUCACCGCCUCAGCUCUGAGUCUCCCCUGGGGACACAACCUUCCUCCUGGUGCAGAGGCGCAGGAUGCUGCCCCUAAGGCCCAUCUUCCUCUGCAGCAUGUUUUGAUGUCAGCUCAUUCACAGGAAAGAAACAAUCACAUCUCAGUGCCCAGAAUGGGGACCAAUAGGAGAGGUCACUGGGAAUAAAGCCCACACGCACCCCAGGGUCCAUGGGCUCCCCAGAAAUGCAGGUGGCCUCCGCCAGAGCCAACAAGCCUAAGUUGCUGAUCAGCCCCUCCCUGCUUCCCUGUGUGGAAGAGGAAACAGAGGCCCAGACUAGUAGGGCUCUGCCGUGGUGGCCGGCUGCGUCCCCAGACCUCUGGUCCCAGGGCUGGCUGGGAGUGCCCCUCCCUGUGCUCACUUCCUGCUCUCCUGGGAAAUGGCUCAGGGAUGGGGCGUGUGGGGACAGAUGCUGGCAUAGCUCACAAAAUGCUUGCACAAGGGACACUCCAUGGCAGGUCCCUGCAGGAGAGCAAAGUCACAACAUUCAGAGAUUCCCUGCACUCUGAGGCCCGCAGAGCCUGGCCGACCAAGCGAGGCUGGGAGGAUGUUGCCUGCUGGUCAGGGCAGCCCUCUGAUCAGGGCGGCCGAGUGAGGCUGGGAGGAUGGUGCCCGCUGGUCAGGGCAGCUGAGCGUGGCUGGGAGGAUGGUGCCUGCUGGUCAGGGCAGCCCUCUGGUCAGGGUGGCCAAGCGAGGCAGGGAGGGAGGUACCCACCGGUCAGGGCAGCCGAACAAAGCUGGAAAGAUGGUGCCUGCUGGUCAGGGCGGCUGAAUGAGGCUGGGAGGAUGGUGUCUGCUGGUCAGGGCAGCUCAGGAGGUGCUGCCCAGGAGGUGCUGUCCAGGCAGAGCCUAGGGCUGGUGUGGGUGUGCCAUGCUCCUGAGAAGUUUCUGGGUUGUGGCUUUAAUGUUCUCCUGCAGUGAGAACGCUGACACUUGGCCAAAGGGUCCUCACCUCUCCCCUAGUACACUUCUGAGAUGCCAGGAAGGUUCUGAACAUCAGAUUGAUUCCUGGGACUCCCCUCCAGGGUGGCCUUACUGGAGUCAGGAGCCCCUGCCCCACUAGGAUGGCUCUGCAGUGGCCUGAGGACAGUGAGCACUGACUGGUCACUGGUGCAAAGUUGCCCACUGUGAUGGUUUUGACCGUUGAUGGGAACCAAGUGAAAGCCCUGCAGCUAUUUCUAGGCAUUUCAGAGGGUGCUUCCCUGCAUGUACUCUGCUGCAGACCAUCCUCCCUGGGCCAGGAGCCCGCUACACAGUAGGAGAUUCUUUUUCUUCUCUUUUGAGCACUUUUAUUCUCUUUUUCUUAAUCUCUGCUCCUCCUUUGAACUGAGAAAUGUGCAAAUCUUUUUUGUUAGUUUUGAGGUUGCUUCUUAUGCAUAUUUCAUCUGGAACUUUCCCCUUUGGGGGUGAUCUGUUCUAUCAGCCUGCCCGCUGCUAGAGAGGCCGAGGUGGUCCGGCCAGCCGUGCGCUGCUGCUGGUGUCUCUGUGGGCAUGACCUGGUGAGAUAUCAUUCUGCAUCUGGGGGUCCAUCCUAUCAGCCCUGUGUUCUAGAUUCCCCAGUGACUGACAUUUAGCCAGUCUCCUCUGUCACUCUCCAGUGACAUGUACACACUGUUGGCACGAACUGCAGAUGUCACGUUCUGUGGCUGAGAGCCUCAGUGUGCAUCUGUAGUAGGAGGAUGUCAGUGAGGACUGUCCUGUCGCUGCUGAGCUGGCACCGACUGUGCCUGGUCUACACUCCAGGUCUGCCAAACGACCCAGCAAGGUCCUUCACAACUCUUCUGAUCCAGGAUCACACAUCACUUGUGCUUUGAUGCCUGCUUCUGAACAAUUUUACCUCCUGAGAUGUCCAUUUUUGGGAGUGUGAGCCCUCCUCUCCUGGUGACAGCUGGCUGAGGCCGUCCAGCCUCAGGACACACAGGGAACGGCUGCAUAAGGAGAUCUGGGGCAGGGGGCCCACCAGGAUGUUCUGCCCUGUGGGGGGCAACACCGGCUGUGGUCUGCCGGCGGCAUCCAGGGACAGUCUGUCUAGGUGAGGCUGAGGCCGCCCCCACUCGCUCCCUCACCCCCAUGCUGACAGCAGUGAGCUGACCACAGACUGGGGGAGCCCCACAGGGAGACUGGCCUCCCCAGCACAUGCCCCGCAGUGCCAGACGCGGUCAUCACAGAGGCAGGUACACGACACCACGGACGUGCCACGUACCCGCCAUCGGGACCAAGGACCACUGAGAAACCAUGAAGGCCAUGCAGCGACUGUGGUGGCAGGACCGUCAGGAGGCCAUAGGUGCCACGGCUCCCCUCUGGUGGUUCACCUGCCCACCUGUAGCUGGGGUGGCCCCUCCAGUGCGCUCCCCAGAGCAGAACACCCCCCAGGCAACACGUCUGAUGAAGGCCAACAGCGUCAGUCCUCUGGUGUUUGGUGACAUCAAAGCUGUGCCGAAAGGCCUUCCCUCACUGCUAACACUUGAAGGGCUUCUGUCCGGUGUGGACCCUCUGAUGGCGAAUGUGGUCUGUCUUAUGCUUAAAGAUCCACCUCCAUUAACUGCACUCUUAGGGUUUCUUCCUCUGAAAAGGAAUGAACACGGGAACCCCCUCAAAGGCAUUUUUAAAUGAAGCGUGGAAGGCAUCAAAGAUGUGCUCUUCUUCAGGACUCAGGCUUCUCCAUCAUUCUCUGUUCCUUGGAAGCGUGAGGGCUAAGGAGCUGCUGACUUCUCUCUCUUGGCCCCACUUCAAGAAAGGCUUGCUUCCCACACACCUCUCCACGCUCCCAGUGCGGGACUGACACUCUGCACCGGGAGGCCAAGGGCCACCAUCGUCUUGCUGGGAGAAGGUGUGACGUUUCUUGGUCAUAGGAGGGAGUGUGAUCUGACACCAGAGGACUUAAUAUAACAUUGCAGUGUUAACAUCUUCACUGGCAGAUUCAUGGACUUUCCCCCUCCUGAAUGCAUUUCAACACCUUGAAAUGAACGAUGCCUCAUGUCUCUGCAGGGUGGACAUAGCUCUAACUCUCUGAAGCUGAGUUGGACAGGUGAAACAUCCACAGUCUUUCUUGACCUGAAUCAAGCUCAGAGUGACAGUGUUUAAGAUUAUAUGUCAAGUUCUGUGUGAAAUGAGAGACCAUGGGGAUUCAUUAUUGCUGGAGUUGACGGUAUUGCAGUUUUAUAACCAUCUAAUAAAUUAGCAUUUAAUACUGAGAGAUUUCAUCUUAAACUCAGAGGAUUGCUUUGUUUUAAAGAAGAUUUUUGCAAGGAGAAGCAAUGGAAACCAUUCAGAAAAUGUGGGAGAUAAAAAUCCUAUUCAAGAAAACGGAUCUUGGAUCUUUGCAUUCACUUGAUUUGUCAGAAUAUUAUUCUGUGCUAAAAAAUAGAAGGGAUUAAAUGUUAAAAAUCACUGAGGCACAAUUCUCUUGAGUUCACCAAUUUUGUACUCCUAUUUCCAGUUUCUUUUCACAUACGUCAUUCUCCAUCCUGAUUAAGCUUGUUCUUUCUGAGCUCAUUUCUGAUACCAAAAGAAGUCAUAAAGUUCUAUAAGAUUAAGAAUUCUCUUAGAAGUACAGAUUUGCAUGAACGUCAAAGAAAAAAAUAUCACAUUUUACUCCCAUAUGCUUUAAUGAUUAUUUUAUUAGGUCAGGCAUGGCUUAGGUUAGAACCUUUGUGGUUUUUUUUUUUUUUAAAUUCCAUUUAGUUAAAUGUUGACACAAUAUUUUUGGAAUUCUAUAUUUUGACUUUUCCGUUAACCUAGGUCUGUUUUGGAGUGGGGAAGAGGGUAGGUCAUCAUUUCUAUUUAAAAUGGGAAUUGGCUAGGCGUGGUGGCUCACGCCUGUAAUCCCAGCACUUUGGGAGGCUGAAGCGGGUGGAUCACGAGGUCAGGAGAUCGAGACCAUCGUGGCUAACACGGUGAAAACCCGUCUCUACUAAAAAUACGAAAAAAAUUAGCCGGGCAUGGUGGUGGGCGCCUGUAGUCCCAGCUACUCGGGAGGCU
This 5116-nucleotide long non-coding RNA is filed under the name Homo sapiens (human). RNAcentral describes it as "non-protein coding LINC00639:10". The record is from RNAcentral. Lineage: Eukaryota; Metazoa; Chordata; Mammalia; Primates; Hominidae.